UACGUAGGGUGCAAGCGUUAAUCGGAAUUACUGGGCGUAAAGCGUGCGCAGGCGGUCUGUUAAGACAGAUGUGAAAUCCCCGGGCUUAACCUGGGAACUGCAUUUGUGACUGGCAGGCUAGAGUAUGGCAGAGGGGGGUAGAAUUCCACGUGUAGCAGUGAAAUGCGUAGAGAUGUGGAGGAAUACCGAUGGCGAAGGCAGCCCCCUGGGCCUGCACUGACGCUCAUGCACGAAAGCGUGGGGAGCAAACAGG
RNAcentral lists this ribosomal RNA (253 nucleotides) under uncultured bacterium. Its description in RNAcentral is "partial 16S ribosomal RNA". It matches the Rfam family "Bacterial small subunit ribosomal RNA", at positions 524 to 776 of the family's 1533-position model. The record is from RNAcentral.